Molecule: unclassified non-coding RNA, 281 nt
Filed under: Hevea brasiliensis (rubber tree)
Lineage: Eukaryota; Viridiplantae; Streptophyta; Magnoliopsida; Malpighiales; Euphorbiaceae
Source: RNAcentral
GUGGCAGUUACCUUAGGAUCUAAGUCUUGCUUGAGCAGCUAUGUCAAUUCUCUACCUAAGUAGAAGUUCUCUGAGCUCUAGGAUAUUAAAUGCUGUCAGUCGACUAUAUAAUACUCCCAGCUAGAGCUGACUUGAGAAAUAAAGCACUAGAGCUAAGGUCCUAGAUUUCUCAUGGAGAAGCUUAGGCUACCUGUGGGAAUUGGCAAACCAAGUUUUGAUGGGUCAUAGUCAUAGCAAUCAGGUUAUGAAAGCCUUAGGCUUGGGCUUAUCCUUCCUAAAGG